Molecule: non-coding RNA, 27 nt
Filed under: Homo sapiens (human)
Lineage: Eukaryota; Metazoa; Chordata; Mammalia; Primates; Hominidae
Source: RNAcentral
UACAGGAAAAGGCCCAGGACAGGGAAC